GCACGGCCUCCGCCGAGUCCGGCACGCCCCACGGCGCCCGGAGCCGGGGACCCACCGAAUCUUGGGGUGAAUCGGCCGGACUUCCCACCCGGGCCGUAGGGCAACCCUUCCGAACCACCCGCCCGAACCCGACAGCUAACUCGGUAGGCGGAACGUGGAAGGAGUC
Molecule: small RNA, 166 nt
Filed under: Streptomyces viridochromogenes
Lineage: Bacteria; Bacillati; Actinomycetota; Actinomycetes; Kitasatosporales; Streptomycetaceae
Description: c-di-AMP sequence
Rfam family: c-di-AMP riboswitch aptamer (ydaO/yuaA leader)
About the family: This family represents a conserved RNA structure found upstream of the ydaO and yuaA genes in Bacillus subtilis and related genes in other bacteria. The ydaO/yuaA element is thought to act as a genetic "off" switch for the ydaO and yuaA genes in its native state.
Source: RNAcentral